Molecule: ribosomal RNA, 506 nt
Filed under: uncultured bacterium
Lineage: Bacteria
Description: partial 16S ribosomal RNA
Rfam family: Bacterial small subunit ribosomal RNA
Source: RNAcentral
AUUGAACGCUGGCGGCAGGCCUAACACAUGCAAGUCGAACGGUAACAGGAAACAGCUUGCUGUUUCGCUGACGAGUGGCGGACGGGUGAGUAAUGUCUGGGAAACUGCCCGAUGGAGGGGGAUAACUACUGGAAACGGUAGCUAAUACCGCAUAACGUCGCAAGACCAAAGAGGGGGACCUUCGGGCCUGCUGCCAUCGGAUGUGCCCAGAGGGGAUUAGCUAGUAGGUGGGGUAACGGCUCACCUAGGCGACGAUCCCUAGCUGGUCUGAGAGGAUGACCAGCCACGCUGGAACUGAGACACAGCCCAGACUCCUACGGGAGGCAGCAGUGGGGAAUAUUGCACAAUGGGCGCAAGCCUGAUGCAGCCAUGCCGCGUGUAUGAAGAAGGCCUUCGGGUUGUAAAGUACUUUCAGCGGGGAGGAAGGGAGUAAAGUCAAUACCUUUGCUCAUUGACGUUACCCGCAGAAGAAGCACCGGCUAACUCCGUGCCAGCAGCCGCGGUAA